Molecule: ribosomal RNA, 118 nt
Filed under: Anolis carolinensis (green anole)
Lineage: Eukaryota; Metazoa; Chordata; Lepidosauria; Squamata; Anolidae
Source: RNAcentral
GCCAGAACUUAACUACCCUAAAGGCACUAAAUCCCAUCUGAUCUUGGAAGUUCAGCAGGAUUGGUUCUGGUUAGUAUUGAGAUCGGAGACCACCAACAAAUACCAAGUACCACUGGCU